This 497-nucleotide ribosomal RNA is filed under the name uncultured bacterium. Its description in RNAcentral is "partial 16S ribosomal RNA". It matches the Rfam family "Bacterial small subunit ribosomal RNA", at positions 28 to 507 of the family's 1533-position model. The record is from RNAcentral.
GACGAACGCUGGCGGCGUGCCUAAUACAUGCAAGUAGAACGCUGAAGAGAGGAGCUUGCUCUUCUUGGAUGAGUUGCGAACGGGUGAGUAACGCGUAGGUAACCUGCCUUGUAGCGGGGGAUAACUAUUGGAAACGAUAGCUAAUACCGCAUAACAAUGGAUGACCCAUGUCAUUUAUUUGAAAGGGGCAAAUGCUCCACUACAAGAUGGACCUGCGUUGUAUUAGCUAGUAGGUGAGGUAACGGCUCACCUAGGCGACGAUACAUAGCCGACCUGAGAGGGUGGUCGGCCACACUGGGACUGGGACACGGCCCAGACUCCUACGGGAGGCAGCAGUAGGGAAUCUUCGGCAAUGGGGGCAACCCUGACCGAGCAACGCCGCGUGAGUGAAGAAGGUUUUCGGAUCGUAAAGCUCUGUUGUAAGUCAAGAACGAGUGUGAGAGUGGAAAGUUCACACUGUGACGGUAGCUUACCAGAAAGGGACGGCUAACUACGUG